UGAGCGGAGGCCCCCCGGAGAAGGAGCAUCCUGCGGGAGAGGGGAGCGGGGGCCCUUCGGCCCUCCCGGGGAGAGGAGCGGCCUCCUCGUCCCCAGCUGCCGGGAGGGAGGCCGGCCGGCCGCCGGGCAGCCCUGGCUGGCGGGGAACCUCCUCGUACCAAUUUUGGUAAUAGCGCGCUACGUGACUGGAGGCUGAGUCAGCCCAGAGGAAUGAGUGGGGACGCUUUGUUCUCCCAGCCGUGCUGUAAUAUGAACGUGCCCAAUGGACCAAGCCAGCUCUUGGCAGAGAGGGAGCCGGAGGUUAACGAGUGACAUAAUUGUGUAUCUAGCAGUACCACACAGCCAGCCUCUGCUCACUCAUUCGGACCUUGGAUCGCCACUCAUGGAAGCUCCUUUCACCAUCACACCUUUCCUUCAGGUCUGCCUUUCCCAACCAAGGAACCGGCUGGCCAUUGCAUCUAACUGGGGCCGGCAACCAGGGGGAUGAAGCUCAAGGAUGACAGUGGCGUCCAUGGACCUUGAGUUGCCUUGGGGUAGUGCCAUUCCAGAGUAUCUCUGAGCCCGCCCUUGUUCAUGCAGCUCUCUCUGGGCUAGGUGGUCUCUUACUGGGAGAUGGAUCAAGACUGAUCGAGACUCAGGGGUCUGGAGCUGGAAGGGAAGCUGGGAUUCCCCGAUCAUAGUGGACCAAUGAAAGGCCCAUAUGUCGCACUUCUGAAUUUCAGCAAGGAUCAGCUGGAGGAACAAAGGAUGGUUAGUUCUGAGAAAAGAACCUGCUGGUGGCGGGAUCACUGAUUUCGUGUACAUGAAGAGCUAUCAUGUGUGAGGGAUGCCCCGAGAACCCCUGGACAGAAUUCCAGGUAGAAGCUUGGGUAGUCAGUCACUCAAUAAAUAACCAUUAAGCGCC
This is a long non-coding RNA of Antechinus flavipes (yellow-footed antechinus), 904 nucleotides long. RefSeq lists it as uncharacterized. The transcript has 2 exons. NCBI's taxonomy places the organism in Eukaryota, Metazoa, Chordata, Mammalia, Dasyuromorphia, Dasyuridae. The record is from RefSeq and is a predicted model, not a curated record.